GAUGAACGCUAGCGACAGGCUUAACACAUGCAAGUCGAGGGGCAGCGAGGUGGUAGCAAUACCGCUGUCGGCGACCGGCGCACUGGUGAGUAACACGUAUGCGACCUGCCCCCUACAGGGGUAUAACCCGUAGAAAUGCGGACUAAUCCCCCAUAGUCCCGCGGGCUGCAUGGCCUGCGGGGGAAAGGCCAGCCGGUAGGGGAUGGGCAUGCGGCGCAUUAGCUAGUUGGCGGGGCAACGGCCCACCAAGGCGACGAUCAGUAGGGGUUCUGAGAGGAAGGUCCCCCCACAUUGGAACUGAGACACGGUCCAAAACUCCUACGGGAGGCAGCAGUGAGGAAUAUUGGUCAAUGGACGGGAGUCUGAACCAGCCAAGUAGCGUGCAGGAUGACGGCCCUAUGGGUUGUAAACUGCUUUUAUAAGGGAAUAAAGUGGGUCACGUGUGACUUUUUGCAUGUACCUUAUGAAUAAGGACCGGCUAAUUCCGUG
This 489-nucleotide ribosomal RNA is filed under the name uncultured bacterium. Its description in RNAcentral is "bacterial SSU rRNA". It matches the Rfam family "Bacterial small subunit ribosomal RNA", at positions 28 to 507 of the family's 1533-position model. The record is from RNAcentral.